RNAcentral lists this long non-coding RNA (2953 nucleotides) under Homo sapiens (human). RNAcentral describes it as "HSALNT0401120". The record is from RNAcentral. Lineage: Eukaryota; Metazoa; Chordata; Mammalia; Primates; Hominidae.
UGGAUGAACUUCUCUACCACCUGGUGAUGAAAUACAUUGGGAUUCUAUGAAAAAGCAUUUUUUUCUAAACUCAAUUUCCAUAUUAAUUUUAGAGCUAUAUGUAAUUAGUUAAAAAUGUUCCUGAAGACUUAAAUCAAGAUAAUCUUUUAGAAGUAACAAAAUGAUCUACACAUGAAAAUACUCAAUUCAGCUUCACAUAUUGCCACAUGUUAUGUUCCCUGAGAAGCAGACUCUGAGAGUUUAGCAUGUAGAUGUUUUAAGUGGUUUCCGUGGGGUCAACAGCUAUGCAGAAUAGGGGAAGUUAGCAGGAAUGGGGCAGAAAUAGAAGUCAAGCUGUGAGGUAGGCCCAAUAACAUCUUCAGCUAACCUGCUGGGGAGCUCUAAGGCUGGAAUGUGAGUUGUCCUGUUUUGGGGAUGAAAUGGUAAAACAUUUAAACUCUUGAUUCUCUGAGUCAGUGAACAUUGGCUGCCCCAGGAAGGAGCCCAAUCUUGGGCAAGGCAACUCUCUAAAGCUGAGGGGAUUCUUGAAGAAGCUUGUGUAAAUGAAUGAAUGAAUGAAUGAAUGCAAGCUUGUGCAAGGUUAACCCAGUGGACUUGGGGUACUCAAACUCUGCACAUUUUAAAGAGAAGACUGGCCCCUUGACCAUCCUGGGAGAUAACCUAUAAGCCUUUGGAAUACCUAGCCUGAUACAAAUGUCUUUGUGUAUCUGGGGUCUUGGGAUAUGCCAGAUAGUUUAUGCAAACAAUGUGAUUUAUGGUGAAUGCCUGUUUUUGUUCACCUGGGGCCCUGGUCAUGCUGUAUUGGUUGGACGCCGGAGACUGAGCAGUCAUGGAGGUACCCCAGGCCUAUGUGACUAGCCCCCAGUAGAAACCCUAGAGACCAAAGCUCAGAGGCCUUGAAAGCUCCAUGAUAGAGAUGACAGAGCUAUAAGAUGAAAGCAGCCCAAAUCCCUGAGUCACCAAUGUUUGAAGAAGAGCUUCCCAGGAGAGGUACCAGACCCACAUGAGACUUCACAUGAUUAUAAAAUGAACUUCUAUUGUGUUGAAUCUCUGAACUUCAGGGUUGUUUUGCAGCACAGACUACAUUAUAGUGACAAGUAGAGGAAGGUACAGUAAAAGCCUUGCCAUCACUCCCAUUAUACAGAGGAAGAAACUGAGACCUAGAGAAGUUCAGAACCUUGCUACAUCAAUCAGAAGUACAAGCCAAGGCUCAUGAAGUGGUUUCCUUAUUUUCUCACCCCAAGUUAGUAAGUCUGUAACUUCUCCUUCACAGUGCAAUUUGUCACGCAGUCUAUGGCACUGUAGAAUUUGGCUAUAGAUCCCUAAGUCAGAAAAGUCCAUGUUUGGAGAACUACUAGUAAGUCAAGACAGAGGAGUGUGACAAAGGCUGACAAAACCCUACCUGCAGCCUGGAGGUCACAGGCAGCCUGCUUUUUGAGUCUCCCUGAAUGGAGGGGAAGGGGCUCUCCCUGAGGGAAUGUGCUCAACUCUGGGUCGUGUGGAAGAGUUAGGAAGUUAACACUCCAUGAGCGACCCUCAUCCAAUGUCGGCUGGGAAUGGGUGGAUAAAUACCCUAACUUUCUAAGGUAUAUGUGUGUCCAGCAGGGCCUCCAGUGGGGAUGAACCACAGUUGGCCACAAUGGUAACCUGCCCAUUAACACACCCUUCAUUGGUCUUUAUUCCCUUCCCUGAGCCUUCACUGUGUUUUCAGGGAUCACCUCCGAAGGAAAUGACUUACACCCAAAUCAGGAUCUGUUUUUGAGGGAACCCAACAUAACACAUGGAGAGAUGGGUUUCCUAUGAAGAAGGAAAUAUGGGCUGUAAAAUACCACGGAGAGUCAGAGUAAGUACAGGCGGCUACAACAAAGAUAGAUCAGGUCACGGAGGUCUCUGGGAAUAGAGGAAAGCCACCCAGAGGAAAAAAGGACAUGACUGCCACUAGCACCAUAUGUAUGUUUCAGAUGGGAUGUGUAUUUAUGUGUGUGUGUGUGUGUGUGUGUGUGUGUGUGUGUGUGUAGGGAGGGGUGACAGAGAGAGAGAGGCAGAAUAAAUAUCUUGGUCAUUGGUUACAAGCCAACAAAACUGAAGUGAUGAAACUCAGUGAGUUUUAUAGAAAUGUGCUGGAGAUGCUUCAAUUACUUUCUCAAUAGGUCUAUUUUGAUAACUGAAUGAAAAGAAUCCAUGUGAAGCACCUACCACUCUUCCUGGCUUGUAGUGAACACACAAAAAGAAUUGUUGAUUAUUGUAGUAGACACUGUAGUGUACCUCCUAGAUUCUCCUUACCCAGCCACUAUACCCAUCCCCAUUGCUGUGAGGUCAGGUGCCCAGGAAUCACAGCAUCCCACCCACCCUUCCCUUGCUCCAGGCAAUGCCCUCAACUGGUAGGUGUCACUUUGCCCAGAAACUACCAUUCUUCUCCAGGGGACCCACGGCCAAGGGCAAACUGGCAUAGGCUAUGCAAGGCUGGCCCCUGGCAGAAUGUAUGUGGAAGGGGCAACUCUUCAGUGUGCUUUAUGGACCAUGGACCAAAUCCAGCUCUCCAUUUGCUUUUGUAAAUUGUUAUUGGAACACAGCCACCCCAUUCCUUUUUGAAUUGUCCAUGGCUGCUUUCCUGCUACAACAGAAGUUGAGUUAUUGCAACAGAGGUCGUCUGGGCCACAAGAUCUAAAGUAUUUACUCUGGCCCUUGAUGGAAGAAACUUGUCCACCGAGCCCUAGAGCUGCACUUCCAAUAUGGUAGCCAUUGGCCAUAUGUGGAUAUUUCAAUUUAAAUUCAUUAAAAUUAAAUAAAAUUAAUAUUUCAGUUCUUCAACUCCAAAAAUUACAUUUUGAGUACUCAGUAGCCAUGAGUCGCUGGUGACUCUCCUAUCAGCCCAGAUACAGAACACUGCCAUCUUCACAGGAAGUUCUGUUGGAUGGUGCUGCACUAUAGGCUUCAGCUUCUGGGUAAAACU